UGUAGCUCACUGGUAGAGCACUUACCUAGCAUGCAAGAGGCCUUGGGUUCAAUCCCCAGCA
This 61-nucleotide transfer RNA is filed under the name Heterocephalus glaber (naked mole-rat). It matches the Rfam family "tRNA", at positions 6 to 65 of the family's 71-position model. From Rfam's summary of the family: Transfer RNA (tRNA) molecules are approximately 80 nucleotides in length. Their secondary structure includes four short double-helical elements and three loops (D, anti-codon, and T loops). The record is from Rfam by way of RNAcentral. Lineage: Eukaryota; Metazoa; Chordata; Mammalia; Rodentia; Bathyergidae.